This 484-nucleotide ribosomal RNA is filed under the name uncultured bacterium. Its description in RNAcentral is "partial 16S ribosomal RNA". It matches the Rfam family "Bacterial small subunit ribosomal RNA", at positions 30 to 507 of the family's 1533-position model. The record is from RNAcentral.
AUUGAACGCUGGCGGCAGGCCUAACACAUGCAAGUCGAGCGGAUGAAGGGAGCUUGCUCCUGGAUUCAGCGGCGGACGGGUGAGUAAUGCCUAGGAAUCUGCCUGGUAGUGGGGGAUAACGCCCGGAAACGGGCGCUAAUACCGCAUACGUCCUGAGGGAGAAAGUGGGGGAUCUUCGGACCUCACGCUAUCAGAUGAGCCUAGGUCGGAUUAGCUAGUUGGUGGGGUAAAGGCCUACCAAGGCGACGAUCCGUAACUGGUCUGAGAGGAUGAUCAGUCACACUGGAACUGAGACACGGUCCAGACUCCUACGGGAGGCAGCAGUGGGGAAUAUUGGACAAUGGGCGAAAGCCUGAUCCAGCCAUGCCGCGUGUGUGAAGAAGGUCUUCGGAUUGUAAAGCACUUUAAGUUGGGAGGAGGGGCAGUAAGUUAAUACCUUGCUGUUUUGACGUUACCAACAGAAUAAGCACCGGCUAACUUCGUG